Molecule: transfer RNA, 73 nt
Filed under: Camelus bactrianus (Bactrian camel)
Lineage: Eukaryota; Metazoa; Chordata; Mammalia; Artiodactyla; Camelidae
Also listed under: 2 other names
Rfam family: tRNA
About the family: Transfer RNA (tRNA) molecules are approximately 80 nucleotides in length. Their secondary structure includes four short double-helical elements and three loops (D, anti-codon, and T loops).
Source: Rfam by way of RNAcentral
GAGGGUAUAGCUCAAGUGGUAGAGCGCAUGCUUAGCAUGCAGGAGGUCCUGGGUUCAUUCCCCAGUACCUCCU